GAUGAAGAACGCAGCGAAAUGCGAUACUUGGUGUGAAUUGCAGAAUCCCGUGAACCAUCGAUUCUUUGAACGCAAGUUGCGCCCGAGGCCUCCUGGUCGAGGGCACGUCUGCCUGGGUGUCACGCAUCGUCGCCCCCUCUCCCCUCGGCUCGCGAGGGCGGGGGCGGAUACUGGUCUCCCGCGCGCUCCCGCUCGCGGUUGGCCCAAAAUCGAGUCCUCGGCGACGGUCGCCACGACGAGCGGUGGUGGAGAGACCCUCGGACACGGUCGUGCGCGCGCCUGUCGCCCCCGGGAUCUCCUGGACCCUCGGGCAUCGAAAUUCUAGGAUGCUCUCGUUGCGACCCCAGGUCAGGCGGGACUACCCGCUGAGUUUAAGCAUAUCAAUAAGCGGAGGA
RNAcentral lists this unclassified non-coding RNA (395 nucleotides) under soil metagenome. RNAcentral's name for it is "partial contains 5.8S ribosomal RNA, internal transcribed spacer 2, and large subunit ribosomal RNA". The stretch from base 1 to 122 matches the Rfam family "5.8S ribosomal RNA", at positions 35 to 154 of the family's 154-position model. The record is from RNAcentral.